UGCCAUAGCUAUAUCACUCUGCAGCCCAAGACCGGUUACUCACUGAAGCUAAGCAGGGCUGAGCCAGGUCAGUACCUAUGGGAGACCAUGUGGGAAAGCUAGGUUGCUGUUGGAA
This is a ribosomal RNA of Danio rerio (zebrafish), 115 nucleotides long. NCBI's taxonomy places the organism in Eukaryota, Metazoa, Chordata, Actinopteri, Cypriniformes, Danionidae. The record is from Ensembl.